RNAcentral lists this long non-coding RNA (2373 nucleotides) under Homo sapiens (human). RNAcentral describes it as "HSALNT0296154". The record is from RNAcentral. Lineage: Eukaryota; Metazoa; Chordata; Mammalia; Primates; Hominidae.
GCAGCUUCUCACCAGCAGACCCCAGUGCAGGGUGCACCGCAGGGGAAGGGCCCACAGACUGGGCUCCUGGCCAGGAUACCUGAGCUUGCAUUCUACCUCAAAAGCAGUUGGGGAAGCCAGAGCCAAGCCCCUCUCCACCUACGUCCUGAAUUUCCCUCAGUCUAAGGCUGGGGGUGAGGCCGAGGACCUCUAAAUCCGCAAACACACCAAAAUACCCACCCAUACGCAUACACACCCACACUCUGUUCCCCCUCUGAAACCUGGAAUCACUCCUGCCUGCCCCACCCAGCUCCACCCACCCUGGCUAGGCAGGUUCUGUAGAGACCUGCUCCGCUGUCUCUCUGGCACCCCCACCCCCAUCCCAGCUCCCAGAAGGUACCUGCCCCCCAACACAGCACACAAAAGCAGACACGUGUGCACAUUCAUGUCCCAUAGCACCCCAUUCCCUAGCCUUCCCCAGACCCAUUCCUAGUCCGUCUUGAAGAGAACACUGGGGGUGGAAAGGCUGCAGGAGAAAAGAAAACAGGGGAAUUACUCAAGUGCAAGAUUAAAGGCAAUAAUGAGCAAUCAGACCGAACUGGAAUGACAGUAGGGGAAGGUGAAGAGACUUUGGGAAAAGGAAGAGCACUGAAGUCAGACCUGGCACAGCCUUUUACGAGCUAUGUAAUCUCAGGUGGGGUUCCCUGGGAAGUGGAUUCCUGAACUCUGAGAUCGUAUACAGGAGAGUGCCAGCAGGAGAGUUCUUGAGAACACCUGUGAGGUGUGAGGGAAGCUGCAAUAAGCCGAGAGAGAAACUGAAAAGCAAUGCAAUGGCAACAGAGGCUUCUGUCCAUCCCAUGGGGGCUCUCAAGCUGGGAUAACUUUGUAACCCCACAUCAACCAGUCAUUGCCCUAGGGAAAGAGCAACACCUCAGGCAAGGCGGCUUUCUUCCUCCAAAGGCAAUUCCUGGAGAGGGACUCAGCUGUGAGUCAACACUUCCACAGCUGGAGAAGUGAGUGGAGCACACCACAGAAUUCACUGUACGUAUCUCAUGGUCUUCAAAACCCAGCUCAGAGUUUACCGGCUGCCUUCCUCACCAACACCCUCUCUCAGAGUGAGAAGAGCAACAAGAGCGACAGCGGCAGCGAGGCCAAUUGAUUAUCUGAAGAAAUUCGGAGCUAGCAGUAGAACAGCUGCAGCUUCCCCCUCUCACCACCUCCAGGCCCUCAGGGAUCCCUGAGGGGAGGGGCCCCCUAAGCCCUUCUGCUCUCCAGCCCAGGCAAAGAGACAAGAGAGGGAGGCAGGGAGCCCAGAGGACUGUGGCUGCUGAGCACAGAGAAGCACAAAGCUCUCAGGGCCAGGAAUGGAAGACUUGGCUUCUAAUCCCAGGCCAUCAUCAUGGGUGAGUCACGUCACCUGUCUGGACAGUAGUUUACCUGCCUUUGAAAUAAAGUUGUUGGAUUCAGUGAUUUCUGUGUUCCCGUCCAACUCUGGCCCUUUGGAGUCCUGAAGUUCUCCCUGAUCUCAGUUCAGCCUUCCCUUUUGCCAGGCUCUGGGCAGAGCACAUGUCAUUUAACUCACAUGGGAAGGGGAAGAUGUCAAGUCCUCCUGUAUGGAAGCUCCUCCCUAGGUCUAACUCAAGCCCUUCAUGCUGCUUAUGUCAUUCUUUGUUCAUCAAAGAUGAAAACCCAUAGCUGGGCAUGGUGAUUCAUGCCUGUAAUCCCAGUAUUUUAGGAGGCCAAGGCAGCAGGAUCACUUCAGGCCAGGAGUUAGAGACCAGUCUGACCAACAUGGCGAAAACCCAUCUCUACUAAAAACACAAAAAUUAGCCGGGCAUGACAGCGGGCGCCUGUAGUCCCAGCUACUCAGGAGGCUGAACCACGAGAAUGGCUUGAAUGGGGAGGUGGAUGUUGCAGUGGGCCAAGAUCCCGCCACUGCACUCCAGCCUGGGCAAUAGAGCAAGACUCUGUCUCAAAAAGAUAAAAAGAAAAAAGAAAAUAUUUCAGGGACUGAAAGUUGUCUCUGCAUUUCCCUCCUGCUGUUUGCCUUCAGCCUUCUCGUAUGACCUUAAGUUUGGAGAGGAUCUUCUAAUGAACCUAGCCAGUGUUCCAUCUGAGGCAGCAAUGUGCUCUAUGAUUUCUCUGCGUGUGGUUGACUCUCCAGCUUCUCUAUUUGGAGUUCUCCUCUUGAGGCAGUCAGUGCCAUUGCUGGACAGCUCCAGGUGUUGCAAAAUUUUUCUUCAAAUUAAAAUCUGCUUUCUUCUAACUUCUACUCACGGGUUUUGUUCGGCCUACUGGGGCCCCACAGAAUAUCCAUUUUUGAUUCUUCUUUCAAUAUUUAAAGAUGGGUGUCAUAUUACCCCCAAGUCUACUCUUAUCAAGACACAUAUCCUC